AAUUCGAUUGAGUUUGAUCAUGGCUCAGGACGAACGCUGGCGGCGCGCUUAACACAUGCAAGUCGAGCGAGAACCAGUCCUUCGGGACUGGGGAAAGCGGCGAACGGGUGAGUAACACGUGGGUAAUCGACCCUCGGCACCGGGAUAGCCCGGGGAAACCCGGAUUAAUACCGGAUGGCCUUUCGAGUUUUCGGACUCGUCAGAAAAGGUAGCUUCGGCCUCCGGCCGAGGACGAGCCCGCGGCGGAUUAGCUUGUUGGUGGGGUAAAGGCCUACCAAGGCUACGAUCCGUAGCUGGUCUGAGAGGAUGAUCAGCCACACUGGGACUGAGACACGGCCCAGACUCCUACGGGAGGCAGCAGUGGGGAAUCUUGCGCAAUGCGGGAAACCGUGACGCAGCGACGCCGUGUGCGGGAAGAAGGCCUUCGGGUUGUAAACCGCUUUCAGGAGGGACGAAGCUACUCGGGUUAAUAGCCCAGAGGGUGACGGUACCUCCAGAAGAAGCCCCGGCUAACUACGUGCCAGCAGCCGCGGUAAUACGUAGGGGGCAAGCGUUGUCCGGAUUUAUUGGGCGUAAAGAGCGUGUAGGCGGCUAGAUAGGUCCGCUGUGAAAACUCGGGGCUCAACCUCGAGACGUCGGCGGAAACCAUUUGGCUAGAGUCCGGAAGAGGAGAGUGGAAUUCCUGGUGUAGCGGUGAAAUGCGCAGAUAUCAGGAAGAACACCCGUGGCGAAAGCGGCUCUCUGGGACGGUACUGA
Molecule: ribosomal RNA, 756 nt
Filed under: uncultured bacterium
Lineage: Bacteria
Description: bacterial SSU rRNA
Rfam family: Bacterial small subunit ribosomal RNA
Source: RNAcentral